This 443-nucleotide ribosomal RNA is filed under the name uncultured Leptotrichia sp. RNAcentral describes it as "bacterial SSU rRNA". It matches the Rfam family "Bacterial small subunit ribosomal RNA", at positions 338 to 795 of the family's 1533-position model. Lineage: Bacteria; Fusobacteriati; Fusobacteriota; Fusobacteriia; Fusobacteriales; Leptotrichiaceae. The record is from RNAcentral.
CCUACGGGUGGCAGCAGUGGGGAAUAUUGGACAAUGGGGGCAACCCUGAUCCAGCAAUUCUGUGUGCACGAAGAAGGUUUUCGGAUCGUAAAGUGCUUUCAGCAGGGAGGAAGAAAGUGACUGUACCUGCAGAAGAAGCGACGGCUAAAUACGUGCCAGCAGCCGCGGUAAUACGUAUGUCGCGAGCGUUAUCCGGAAUUAUUGGGCAUAAAGGGCAUCUAGGCGGCCAGAUAAGUCCGAGGUGAAAACUGCCGGCUCAACCAGCAGCUUGCCUUGGAAACUACCUGGCUAGAGUAUUGGAGAGGUGGACGGAACUACACGAGUAGAGGUGAAAUUCGUAGAUAUGUGUAGGAAUGCCGAUGAUGAAGAUAGUUCACUGGACGAUAACUGACGCUGAAGUGCGAAAGCUAGGGGAGCGAACAGGAUUAGAUACCCCAGUAGUC